RNAcentral lists this ribosomal RNA (253 nucleotides) under uncultured bacterium. Its description in RNAcentral is "partial 16S ribosomal RNA". It matches the Rfam family "Bacterial small subunit ribosomal RNA", at positions 524 to 776 of the family's 1533-position model. The record is from RNAcentral.
UACGGAGGGGGCUAGCGUUGUUCGGAAUUACUGGGCGUAAAGCGUACGUAGGCGGCUUUGUAAGUUAGAGGUGAAAGCCCGGGGCUCAACCCCGGAAUUGCCUUUAAGACUGCAUCGCUAGAAUCAUGGAGAGGUGAGUGGAAUUCCCAGUGUAGCGGUGAAAUGCGUAGAUAUUGGGAGGAACACCAGUGGCGAAGGCGGCUCACUGGACCGGUACUGACGCUGAUGAGCGAAAGCUAGGGGAGCAAACGGG